This 253-nucleotide ribosomal RNA is filed under the name uncultured bacterium. RNAcentral's name for it is "partial 16S ribosomal RNA". It matches the Rfam family "Bacterial small subunit ribosomal RNA", at positions 524 to 776 of the family's 1533-position model. The record is from RNAcentral.
UACGAAGGGGGCUAGCGUUGUUCGGAAUUACUGGGCGUAAAGCGCACGUAGGCGGAUCGAUCAGUCAGGGGUGAAAUCCCAGGGCUCAACCCUGGAACUGCCUUUGAUACUGUCGAUCUGGAGUAUGGAAGAGGUGAGUGGAAUUCCGAGUGUAGAGGUGAGAUUCGUAGAUAUUCGGAGGAACACCAGUGGCGAAGGCGGCUCACUGGUCCAUUACUGACGCUGAGGUGCGAAAGCGUGGGGAGCAAACAGG